RNAcentral lists this ribosomal RNA (671 nucleotides) under uncultured Acinetobacter sp. RNAcentral describes it as "bacterial SSU rRNA". It matches the Rfam family "Bacterial small subunit ribosomal RNA", at positions 56 to 721 of the family's 1533-position model. The record is from RNAcentral. Lineage: Bacteria; Pseudomonadati; Pseudomonadota; Gammaproteobacteria; Moraxellales; Moraxellaceae.
UGCAAGUCGAGCGGGGGAAGGUAGCUUGCUACUGGACCUAGCGGCGGACGGGUGAGUAAUACUUAGGAAUCUGCCUAUUAGUGGGGGACAACGUUCCGAAAGGAGCGCUAAUACCGCAUACGCCCUACGGGGGAAAGCAGGGGAUCUUCGGACCUUGCGCUAAUAGAUGAGCCUAAGUCGGAUUAGCUAGUUGGUGGGGUAAAGGCCUACCAAGGCGACGAUCUGUAGCGGGUUUGAGAGGAUGAUCCGCCACACUGGGACUGAGACACGGCCCAGACUCCUACGGGAGGCAGCAGUGGGGAAUAUUGGACAAUGGGCGCAAGCCUGAUCCAGCCAUGCCGCGUGUGUGAAGAAGGCCUUAUGGUUGUAAAGCACUUUAAGCGAGGAGGAGGCUUACCUAGCUAAUACCUAGGAUAAGUGGACGUUACCCGCAGAAUAAGCACCGGCUAACUCUGUGCCAGCAGCCGCGGUAAUACAGAGGGUGCAAGCGUUAAUCGGAAUUACUGGGCGUAAAGCGCGCGUAGGUAGCCAUUUAAGUCAAAUGUGAAAUCCCCGAGCUUAACUUGGGAAUUGCAUUCGAUACUGGAUGGCUAGAGUAUAGGAGAGGAAGGUAGAAUUCCAGGUGUAGCGGUGAAAUGCGUAGAGAUCUGGAGGAAUACCGAUGGCGAAGG